CAAUUGGGGGCGGUGCUAUUACAUGCAAGUCGAACGAACUCUGGGUAUUGAUUGGUGCUUGCAUCAUGAUUUACAUUUGAGUGAGUGGCGAACUGGUGAGUAACACGUGGGAAACCUGCCCAGAAGCGGGGGAUAACACCUGGAAACAGAUGCUAAUACCGCAUAACAACUUGGACCGCAUGGUCCGAGUUUGAAAGAUGGCUUCGGCUAUCACUUUUGGAUGGUCCCGCGGCGUAUUAGCUAGAUGGUGGGGUAACGGCUCACCAUGGCAAUGAUACGUAGCCGACCUGAGAGGGUAAUCGGCCACAUUGGGACUGAGACACGGCCCAAACUCCUACGGGAGGCAGCAGUAGGGAAUCUUCCACAAUGGACGAAAGUCUGAUGGAGCAACGCCGCGUGAGUGAAGAAGGGUUUCGGCUCGUAAAACUCUGUUGUUAAAGAAGAACAUAUCUGAGAGUAACUGUUCAGGUAUUGACGGUAUUUAACCAGAAAGCCACGGCUAACUACGUGCCAGCAGCCGCGGUAAUACGUAGGUGGCAAGCGUUGUCCGGAUUUAUUGGGCGUAAAGCGAGCGCAGGCGGUUUUUUAAGUCUGAUGUGAAAGCCUUCGGCUCAACCGAAGAAGUGCAUCGGAAACUGGGAAACUUGAGUGCAGAAGAGGACAGUGGAACUCCAUGUGUAGCGGUGAAAUGCGUAGAUAUAUGGAAGAACACCAGUGGCGAAGGCGGCUGUCUGGUCUGUAACUGACGCUGAGGCUCGAAAGUAUGGGUAGCAAACAGGAUUAGAUACCCUGGUAGUCCAUACCGUAAACGAUGAAUGCUAAGUGUUGGAGGGUUUCCGCCCUUCAGUGCUGCAGCUAACGCAUUAAGCAUUCCGCCUGGGGAGUACGGCCGCAAGGCUGAAACUCAAAGGAAUUGACGGGGGCCCGCACAAGCGGUGGAGCAUGUGGUUUAAUUCGAAGCUACGCGAAGAACCUUACCAGGUCUUGACAUACUAUGCAAAUCUAAGAGAUUAGACGUUCCCUUCGGGGACAUGGAUACAGGUGGUGCAUGGUUGUCGUCAGCUCGUGUCGUGAGAUGUUGGGUUAAGUCCCGCAACGAGCGCAACCCUUAUUAUCAGUUGCCAGCAUUAAGUUGGGCACUCUGGUGAGACUGCCGGUGACAAACCGGAGGAAGGUGGGGAUGACGUCAAAUCAUCAUGCCCCUUAUGACCUGGGCUACACACGUGCUACAAUGGAUGGUACAACGAGUUGCGAACUCGCGAGAGUAAGCUAAUCUCUUAAAGCCAUUCUCAGUUCGGAUUGUAGGCUGCAACUCGCCUACAUGAAGUCGGAAUCGCUAGUAAUCGCGGAUCAGCAUGCCGCGGUGAAUACGUUCCCGGGCCUUGUACACACCGCCCGUCACACCAUGAGAGUUUGUAACACCCAAAGUCGGUGGGGUAACCUUUUAGGAACCAGCCGCCUAAAGGUGAACCAGUUUGG
RNAcentral lists this ribosomal RNA (1479 nucleotides) under Lactiplantibacillus plantarum. RNAcentral's name for it is "bacterial SSU rRNA". It matches the Rfam family "Bacterial small subunit ribosomal RNA". Lineage: Bacteria; Bacillati; Bacillota; Bacilli; Lactobacillales; Lactobacillaceae. The record is from RNAcentral.